CAGAAUGACCUUUCUCUCGCCUGUGAUUUUUUCCGCAGGGUUUGGCAUCCUGUGUUGAAAAGUACAGGUUGGAUCUGACGGGUGGAGCCUUUCCCUUGAGAGGGCAGGGCAGCAAGGCCAAACUACUCAGCUGUCAGGCUGUAGAAAUCUUUCCCAACUGCAUUGACAGAGAAGGCAGCGUUGAUGAAGUCAUAUCUCCUGACAUCAGUGUCUCCGUCUUCAGCUGGCAAGUGAACACACGCAGCCAGGGAAAACCAUCUACUUAUUUGGGUGUAUUUGACUUUGACUGCUGGUAUGAGGCUCAAAAGCCAGGCUCACUAAGGCCAGAAGAAUCCCUUCAGGACUGCCCCUAUUUUGCACUGUGGUCACUGGACGCUGUGACAAGCACGACUGCUCCAAACCCCC
Molecule: non-coding RNA, 405 nt
Organism: Phalacrocorax carbo (great cormorant)
Lineage: Eukaryota; Metazoa; Chordata; Aves; Suliformes; Phalacrocoracidae
Source: RefSeq, a predicted model, not a curated record